This is a small nuclear RNA of Protopterus annectens (West African lungfish), 105 nucleotides long. Lineage: Eukaryota; Metazoa; Chordata; Ceratodontiformes; Protopteridae. The record is from RefSeq and is a predicted model, not a curated record.
GUGCCCAAAGACAGCACAUGUACUGACACUGGAACAAUACAGAGAAGACUAACUUGGCCCCUUUGCAGGGAUGAUGUACAGGUUCAUGAAGCAUUCCACUUUUUU